GGGAAGGUGGCUCAGUGGUAGAGUACUUGCCUUGCAUGCAUGAGGCCCUGGGUUCGAUUCCUUAGCACCCA
This 71-nucleotide transfer RNA is filed under the name Dipodomys ordii (Ord's kangaroo rat). It matches the Rfam family "tRNA". From Rfam's summary of the family: Transfer RNA (tRNA) molecules are approximately 80 nucleotides in length. Their secondary structure includes four short double-helical elements and three loops (D, anti-codon, and T loops). The record is from Rfam by way of RNAcentral. Lineage: Eukaryota; Metazoa; Chordata; Mammalia; Rodentia; Heteromyidae.